AACGCUAGCUACAGGCUUAACACAUGCAAGUCGAGGGGAAACGACAUCGAAAGCUUGCUUUUGAUGGGCGUCGACCGGCGCACGGGUGAGUAACGCGUAUCCAACCUGCCCAUCACUUGGGAAUAACCUUGCGAAAGUAAGACUAAUACCCAAUGACAUCCCACGAAGGCAUCCGAAUGGGAUUAAAGAUUUAUCGGUGAUGGAUGGGGAUGCGUCUGAUUAGCUUGUUGGCGGGGUAACGGCCCACCAAGGCAACGAUCAGUGGGGGUUCUGAGAGGAAGGUCCCCCACAUUGGAACUGAGACACGGUCCAAACUCCUACGGGAGGCAGCAGUGAGGAAUAUUGGUCAAUGGGCGAGAGCCUGAACCAGCCAAGUAGCGUGCAGGAAGACGGCCCUAUGGGUUGUAAACUGCUUUUAUAAGGGAAUAAAGUGGGUCACGUGUGACUUUUUGCAUGUACCUUAUGAAUAAGGACCGGCUAAUUCCGUGCCAGCAGCCGCGGUAAUACGGAAGGUCCGGGCGUUAUCCGGAUUUAUUGGGUUUAAAGGGAGCGUAGGCCGGAGAUUAAGCGUGUUGUGAAAUGUAGAGGCUCAACCUCUGCACUGCAGCGCGAACUGGUCUUCUUGAGUACGCACAACGUGGGCGGAAUUCGUGGUGUAGCGGUGAAAUGCUUAGAUAUCACGAAGAACUCCGAUUG
Molecule: ribosomal RNA, 696 nt
Filed under: uncultured bacterium
Lineage: Bacteria
Description: bacterial SSU rRNA
Rfam family: Bacterial small subunit ribosomal RNA
Source: RNAcentral